AAACGACUCUCGGCAACGGAUAUCUCGGCUCUCGCAUCGAUGAAGAACGUAGCGAAAUGCGAUACUUGGUGUGAAUUGCAGAAUCCCGUGAACCAUCGAGUCUUUGAACGCAAGUUGCGCCCGAAGCUUCUGGCCGAGGGCACGUCUGCCUGGGCGUCACGCAU
This 164-nucleotide ribosomal RNA is filed under the name Anisophyllea polyneura. Its description in RNAcentral is "5.8S ribosomal RNA". It matches the Rfam family "5.8S ribosomal RNA". From Rfam's summary of the family: 5.8S ribosomal RNA (5.8S rRNA) is a component of the large subunit of the eukaryotic ribosome. It is transcribed by RNA polymerase I as part of the 45S precursor that also contains 18S and 28S rRNA. Lineage: Eukaryota; Viridiplantae; Streptophyta; Magnoliopsida; Cucurbitales; Anisophylleaceae. The record is from RNAcentral.